This 253-nucleotide ribosomal RNA is filed under the name uncultured bacterium. RNAcentral describes it as "partial 16S ribosomal RNA". It matches the Rfam family "Bacterial small subunit ribosomal RNA", at positions 524 to 776 of the family's 1533-position model. The record is from RNAcentral.
UACGUAGGUGGCAAGCGUUGUCCGGAUUUAUUGGGUUUAAAGGGUGCGUAGGCGGUUUUGUAAGUCAGUGGUGAAAUACUCUAGCUUAACUAGAGGGGUGCCAAUGAUACUGCGGAACUUGAGUACAGAUGAGGUAGGCGGAAUUGAUGGUGUAGCGGUGAAAUGCAUAGAUAUCGUCAAGAACACCGAUAGCGAAGGCAGCUUACUGGGCUGUAACUGACGCUGAUGCACGAAAGUGUGGGGAUCAAACAGG